This is a long non-coding RNA of Ziziphus jujuba (common jujube), 927 nucleotides long. RefSeq lists it as uncharacterized. Lineage: Eukaryota; Viridiplantae; Streptophyta; Magnoliopsida; Rosales; Rhamnaceae. The record is from RefSeq and is a predicted model, not a curated record. The transcript has 2 exons.
CACCCAAUGUGAACAUGUCCCUACGCCGAUGGAGCCCAAUUGCCGAGCCUGUUGACGACACACCAAGAUUGGGCGUUUGAAGCUGGUGGAGGCAUGCUUCCAUUUCUGGCGAUUCUGCCAUUUUUUGACGAACCUAGCCCUACCUAUACCCCUAUUCUCUAUUUUAGACCCCUGAUUCCAAAUAUAGCCUCCAGUUUUUCAAAUUCUAAGUCAUUUGAGAGAUACAAUGAGUUGAAGUUUAGCCAAAAUUCUCCGGCCAUUCGAGGGAUCCAGCGGCGAUUUUAGUAUGCAGGUUAUAAUCAGUUGUCCUUUGUGGCUGUGCUAAUUGAAGGUAGAUAGGUAGUUUGUAGAGAUGAUAUUAGUCAACUUCCUUAUGGUUGAAGGACGACAUGUUUACCCAUUGCUAUAAGCGCUAAGGUGAGUGAGGGUAGACGACUGUUUCUAUUGUGAUGACAUUAGCCACCAUUUCCUUAGCUUUAGGAUGGUAGGUUAUUUAGCAUCGGAACCAUUGAAAUGCCAAUGAGGCCGUCUGCUGGUUCUCUACUCCCUUCUUUUCUGUCAAAUGGUGAUUGGGACACCAAGCAUUACUUGGAAGCAGCGGUAUAUCCUAUGGUACAACAGGCAUCCUUUCUAUAGAUAUAUAAAUAUAUAUAUAUAUAUAUUAUAUCAUGUUAUGUGUCAGGUGUACUAUACCAUACCAGGGGUAACGACAUGAUUUGGCUCAUGAACGGCUUAGUAUCAUAUUUCUACUACUUAUGAGACUAGCGGGUUGGAUGAUCAUUAUAGGCAACCAUCCCUGGCUAUAUUGAUAGCAAAAUACCUACAGAUAAUUGAUAUCAUGAGACCAUACCUUGGUACAAUAUAUGGUAUAUCAGAUGUAUUUCCGCUAUGAGUGUGCUAUUUAUAUAAUACAUUUAUUAGUUUUUA